Molecule: ribosomal RNA, 301 nt
Filed under: uncultured bacterium
Lineage: Bacteria
Description: partial 16S ribosomal RNA
Rfam family: Bacterial small subunit ribosomal RNA
Source: RNAcentral
CAGUAGCCGCGGGAAUACGUAGGGUGCAAGCGUUAAUCGGAAUUACUGGGCGUAAAGCGUGCGCAGGCGGUGUUGUAAGACUGAUGUGAAAUCCCCGGGCCCAACCUGGGAACUGCAUUGGUGACUGCAACGCUGGAGUGCGGCAGAGGGGGAUGGAAUUCCGCGUGUAGCAGUGAAAUGCGUAGAUAUGCGGAGGAACACCGAUGGCGAAGGCAGCCCCCUGGGCCAAUACUGACGCUCAUGCACGAAAGCGUGGGGAGCAAACAGGAUUAGAUACCCGAGUAGUCCCUGUCUCUUAUAA